Long non-coding RNA from Monodelphis domestica (gray short-tailed opossum), 1779 nucleotides. NCBI's taxonomy places the organism in Eukaryota, Metazoa, Chordata, Mammalia, Didelphimorphia, Didelphidae. The record is from Ensembl.
GUUGAUAUCAGUUUCUUCAGUCAUGUCUGAAUGUAUUAUGACCCCAUGUAAGUUGUUUUUUUUUUUUUCGGCAAAAAUACUUGAGUGGUUUGACAUUUACUUUUCCACUCAUUUUACAGAUGAAGAAACUGAUGCAAACAGCACUGAGUGACUUGUAGAGUGGGACAACUACUAAUCAUCUGAAGCCAGAAGUGAACUCAUGAAGAUGGGCAUUCCUGACUCCAUGUCUGUUACCCUAUCCAUCGCACUUCCUAGCUGUGCCCUACAUAUAUAUAUAUAUAUAUAUAUAUAUAUAUAUAUAUAUAUACAACCACGAAAUUUGAAUAUGUAGGUAAUAUAAAUAUAUAUACAUAGACAUGGAAUAUAUCCCUAUGUAUAUAAUAAAGUAUAUGUACAUAAAUUGACAUCUAGGUGUGAUAGUGGAUAGAGCACCAAGCCUGAGGUCGAGAAGAUCCAAGUUGAAAUCUGGCCUUAAACAUCCUAUGCUAAUCAUUUAUCCCUGUUUGCCUCAGUUUCUUUGUCUAUAAAAUGAGCCAUAAAAGAAAAUGACAAACCACACCAAUAUCUUUGACAAGAAAAAUAUCACAAAUGGACUCAUGAAGAAUCAGACAUGACUGAAAUAUCUGAAAAAUGUGCAUGAAUAUACAUGUAAUAUAUUAUGUAUAUUACAUGUAAAUUAUAUCUUCCAUUGUGAUAGAGGAAUGAUCCAGAGACAUUGAAGGGCAGAGCCUGGAAGACAUGCAGAGGUUUGCAUUCCUGGUUGGAGAUGGCGGAGGAGGCUUGGAAUCUUGAAGGAAGAGAGAUUCCAGGUGAGAGGCAGUUGAUCUCUAUCUUGAGAUGGCAAAGAUACCAAGAAGUGUGGCAGAAACCUGAGAAGAAUAAGAACAGCAUAACAAGAUCUCACACAGCUCCUGUGACACCCGGGGUCUGGACAUUGGCUCUGCUGUGAUUAGACCAGGGGUCACAAACCUGAACCUCUCAAAGACCAGGCUGGCAAGCCUGAGUCUCAACUUUGGAGGGAGGGAAAGGGAUAUUUUAGACAGGCAGGGACUGCUUUUAUCCUCUUUCCUCUAGACCCUAACCUUCAGACAUCUUUUCUUAUUUUACCCCUAACCACAAUUUUUAGAAUAAUGUUGUCAGUUAUCCUAAAUUGACUUUCUUGUCAUAGUGGAAGAGGGAGAGAGCUGAUUUCUCUCUCCCCAAGGGGAGAGUUUCACCUAUUAAAUCAGUUAUUAGAGGGGAUUAAAGGCAGGGUUAGUGGGGAGACAUAUUUGAAGAAGACUUAAGGGGGGGGGAUCCAUCUCACCCUCCUUCUACCUUCAGGGCAUUUAUCAUCAACUCCAUUAUACCCAAACCAACCCUCUAAUACACCACAUACAUGAAUUUUACCUCUGACAUACUAGCUCUGUGACCAUGGACAAUUCACUAAUUCUCUCAGUGAUCCCCCCAAAUCUCUGAGACUAUAAAUUAUGAAAUGGUUGUCAAUCUAUAUUGGUAAAGGGGAUUUCUAUCCAGACCUAGAGCUCCUUAUCACAAUUAUAUUCCAGGUCAGGGACAAAUUUAUAGAAAGAAGAGCAACUCAUAUAUAUUUUGGCAUACUUUGUGACCUGUAGCCUAAAAAUUGACAAAUACUCCAAAAGAUUAUAUGAUUUGUCCAUGUGGGCAGAAUAUCAGGAUAGAUCUUUGUGACUCAAAAGAUAAUCACUCUAUCCACAAUACCAUCCUGCCUCCUGUAUGAAUAUAAAUGACUAAAUAAACAUGUGCACAUAGACCUAAUCA